CCUCUUUCUACUGUGAUGUAUAAAUCAUUCCUCAUUUCACCAGGCAUGAUAAUAUUGGAAAAACCUAGUUUCCUUGUUAUGGAUACUCCAUGGGUAAACAUAGAUGUAUACUCUCUCCUGAUUUGUUCUAUGUCUCCAUGAAGCAACUGAAGAGAAACUGCCAGACCUGCAUUGGAGCCAGUCAAGUUGUAACGUGCAUUCAGCUUUUUAAUGAUAUUUUCAUGGAUCUGAUACCAGUCACUCUCUGUGUUGCACAUGUACACUUUUAAGAUGAGGUCAUCCUUUGAAUCUCCUGCCAGCAAAUCCGCGAUACUGAGGACCGCACAGCCAAAAGGCCGUCUGUAUUGUACGUUGCAGGCAUUUUUCUUUU
This 370-nucleotide long non-coding RNA is filed under the name Gallus gallus (chicken). Lineage: Eukaryota; Metazoa; Chordata; Aves; Galliformes; Phasianidae. The record is from RNAcentral.